This 357-nucleotide long non-coding RNA is filed under the name Oryza sativa Indica Group (long-grained rice). RNAcentral's name for it is "lncRNA OsMH63_05G025260". The record is from RNAcentral. RNAcentral also lists the same sequence under 1 other name. Lineage: Eukaryota; Viridiplantae; Streptophyta; Magnoliopsida; Poales; Poaceae.
GGUUUCUCCUGGACUCUUCAGUUACUACGACCCCAUACCCAUAGGCCGUUCACGCUGCGCAGAUCAGAAAGGCCCAACACAUUUUGCCGGGCCACCCCCCGGUCCCGCACGACGCGCCGCCGUCAAAUCCUCGUGCGCGGCCGGCCUAGCUGCCCCCCUUCCCCGGCGAGCACCGGUGCACGUCGCGGCAGAAGAGAGCGUUGGCGUCAAGGGAUGGGCAAGACGCCAAAGGGCGGUCUCUUGCUCCAUGCCUACAACCACAUCGGACCAAGGCCGGGAACACUUGUUGGACACGCAGUGGUUCCUCACGUGCCAAGGGUCAUGACCAUGUCAAACCUACGGCGACGCUCCCUCUGA